ACUGUGGAAGGAUUAAUAAAUGUUAUGAGAUUUCCUGAGGAAUAAAGGCACUUUACAGAGCCAAUAAAAGUAGUUUUAAUAGCUACAAAUACAAUUUUCCUCAACGUCAGUUUUUAAUUUCCCCUAAGGUAAGUAGACAGAUACAGAAGACAGCUAGGAGAACCAAUUAGUUGUUUUAUUGUUGUAUACCCCAACAUGAAUAGCAGCACCAAAGGUUCAGUUUUCAGUACUAACUGUUGCAUUGUACCUUCGCUCCAUCUCCAUGCUCACUCGCAUUUCUAAUACUGUCUCGCCUCUAAACAAGUUGAUGCCUGAGAAGUAAAGCUGGGAGAGCUCAUGUCAAACAUCCACACAUAUGCUGUUCUAUGCGUAGAAUUUUGACAUGUAUAGCAAAGAGAAGUUUCCGAACCUGUGGUCCACAUAAUAGUUAUCUCUGCCCCCUGGGCUGCUUGCGUCAACAUUCCCUUCUCUACUGAGGCUCUGUUGUCAAAAUAAGGCUUGUUAGUUGAUUCUGUGUGAUUUAAGCCUGUAGCCUCAGACAAAAGACCCUUGGAGCUCUUUUCUUCUCCUUUUAUCUUUUUCAUGAUUUAGUGUCAUGAAAACUCACCUGAGAUUCUCCUUGGUGACACGGGACUUCUACUGGUUUCUUUUGGGAUGCAACUGCAGCUGAUAUUGAAAUAUCUCCGUUUCUUCCUGCAGUGUAUUUACUAUCAUGUAACAUUCAUACUUCUCUAUGUACCUUCCCAGGAAAUUUCCAAGUGUAUACUUUAUUUAUUUGGGGAUGAUUUCAAAUUAUAUAGAGCCAACGAGAAGAUCUGCUAGAGAAUGUGUGCAGUUGGUCUUGAGGCUGAAAGCCUCCCCUGAAGCUCCCUGUUCUGUUGCUUAUUUAUCUAUUCUUUAAUUUUUCCAGAUUAUGAUACUUCUGGAUCCAUGAACCUUGUUCCUGCUCCAGAGAAAGUUGUGAAGGAAGUAGUCACUGUGAGUGAUAUUUCCUGCUUACCUAAAGGUAAAGCAAUAUAGAGAACAGCAAGGUGGAUAGAACCCAUACAGUCAAGAUAGACUUUUUUUGGUAUAUUUUUUAUACCGUAAAAUUUAUUUUUUAAUAGUAUAUGAUUCAGUGUUUUUUUUUCUUAUUAAUAUAUUUUCACAAGUUUGUUCCACCAUCACCAUUUCUAUCUGAUAUGACCUUUAAAAAAAUACUUUUGCAUUGUAACGGCUUAAGAGGGAGAAAGAUGGUAUGAUAGGCAGAAUAGUGAUCUGUCCCCCCCCCAGAAAAAAAGUCUACAUCCUAAUCCCUGGAACCUGCAACUAUGUUAGGUUACAUGGCAAAGGGAAAUUAAGGCUGCAGAUGGAAUUAAGAUUGCUAAUCAGCUGACGUUAAAACAGUAAGAUGUUCCUGUAUUAUCUGGGUGGGCCCAAUGUAAUCACAAGAAUCCUUAAACGUUGGAGAGUGAGGCAGAAGUGUCAGUAUAAGAGUCAGAGGAGAAGAUGUGAUGAUGGAAGCAGAAGUCAGAGUGAUGUAAUUGCUGAUAUGAAGAUGGAGGAAGGUGCCAUGAGCCAAGGAAUACAGGAGGCCUCUAGAAUCUGAAAAAGGUAAGGAAACAGAGUCUCUUCUAGACCCUCCAGAAGGAAGCAGCCCUGUUAUUACCUUGAUUUUAGCCUAGUGAGAUCCACUUUGGACUUCUGACCUCUAAAACUGUAAAAUAGUCCAUUUGUAUUGUUUUAAGCUACUAAAUUUGUAGUAAUUUGUUGUAACAGCCAAUGAGGAAGGAAGAGAGAGAGAGAUUAGGUGGUUUUUGUACUUCUUGCCCCUUUAAUGAUAUCCCAGACAGAGCCAGCUUUGUCACUUCAGUUGAUCCUGUUGAUCUUUGAAAGAGUGGUUGAAAAUAGAGGCUCUUCUCUCAAAUGCUCAUAGGUCAUUUGAUGUGUUUCACCCAGUUAGAGCUCAGAAUCUCCACCAAUGAUAUAAAUGGACUAGAAUUUUGACUGGUCUUGAGAGCUUACAAACAAAGAUCUGCACACCUACAUCCCCAGGCACUGACUCCACUUCAGGUGAAGUUAAUUGCACCAAGAGAAACUCCCUUGACAUCAAGACGGAGUCAGCUAUUGAAAACCUUAUGGAGUGAAAUUCUACUCGGAAACGUGGAUUUACCAGGAGUCGGAAUCUACUCAACAGCAAUGGGUAUGGAAUAAAUGAAGGAGGAGGAAUGUGGAAGAAAGAAGGCAAAGACCCUUCUAAACUCAACCGAUAGAUGGCAGCUUUUGGGGGACUUCUCAUUUUUUUCUCCAAGAAGAAUAAUCAUUCUCAUGUUAUCAGCCUAGAUCUCAUGAAACCCAGCAUGAGAUUUACUGCUACAGUUUUCAUAUAACUCUGUGUUGAUUCUGCACUAAAGGAUAUAGAAGACUGGUUUUCGGCAAACAGCAAAUGUGUAAAGGACUGUUUCUCUUUUUUUAACUUUGCCUUGUCACAUAUUACUGCCAAACUCCUUGUGCUUAUGUGUUCAUAUGACUGCUCUCCUGGGUAGCAUUUCAUGUGUUUGAUUUACCAGAUAUGUGAAGCCAUCCCUUUGGUGUGGGGAAAGCAGGGGAUGCAGUUUGGGUGCCAGAAUAUGAAAAUUCUUUCUUGGUUAAUGGACAUAUCAAAUCAGCGCAUCAACAGGGAAGUGAAUGACAAAAAACUGUAGACACCUUCUUGGACAACAGGUGCUGACUUUUGCAAAUAAAAGGUUAAUUUUAUUUUCAGUCAAUUUUUCCUUCUUAUGAUGUCUGUUCUGUUUUUCUGAAUGUGGUCAACAGGAAAAAAAUUGCCUUCAACAUUCAUUUUAUGUGACAACAUUUCAGGGAUUACCUAUUGUUGGAUUAUUUAAGUAGAGAAUAUAUAAACUAUUUCCCAUUAUACAAACUUGUAAAGGGGGUAGAAUCUUUGAAAGCUAGCAUGAGGCUAUUCAAGGGCAUCCUGUAAAGCUGGCCUGAUUUACUGACUCCACAUAACAACAACCAUCAUCUUCUCUUUUUUCUGGAUUGCAUUGGAUUUAUUAUAUAUUUGAAAACAUAGCUUUAUAUUUAAUAUAUCGUUUCUCUUUUUUUGUCCCAUUAAAAAAAACAAUAUCCUUUAUGAGUUUUUCUAUGUUUAAGGCUAAAAAAUUCCAAGUGACUGCCAACAGAUAUUAUUUAAACUAGGCUGGAAUCUGACUGAUGGAGAAGUGAUUUGCUUUAACUGUAUAUAACAGACCUGUGCUUAAAGGAAAAAGAAAAUAAAAUUCUGUAAGAUAAACAAAAGCAGCAGUCUAUGAACAAUUCCGAAUAAGAGUUCUCUUUUGAUUUAUCAGUCUAACAUUCACUAAUCUUCUUAUUACACCACUAACAUCCAGCAUAUCCACAUUAAAGUUGUGUAUGCAACUUAGAAUGUAAGUAUAAAGAUUAAAAAAUAUUCUGAGAUUAUAAUCAUUUUCCAUGAGCUUCAAAAAUGCAUCAAAUUAGAGGAAUGCAUAACUAAACUGCAUUUCUCUCCAUUAACUCAGCUAUAAUGUGUAGGACAGGCAGCCUAUUGCAGGGGGUAUAAAGUGGGAGGAAAAGGAACCAGGGUGGUUGAUCCCAAGGUAAUUCUACAGGAUGAAUUUUUUAGCUCCCAUGAACUUUCCACAGUGAGAGGUAGUGUGCCAGAGAGCAAAAGGAAGAUGUAAACAACAUG
Trichechus manatus latirostris (Florida manatee) is the source of this 3691-nucleotide long non-coding RNA. RefSeq lists it as uncharacterized. NCBI's taxonomy places the organism in Eukaryota, Metazoa, Chordata, Mammalia, Sirenia, Trichechidae. The record is from RefSeq and is a predicted model, not a curated record. The transcript has 3 exons.